CCGUAGCCUGGUAGCGGGGGGUAACUAUUGGAAACGAUAGCUAAUACCGCAUAACAGUAGAUGUUGCAUGACAUCUGCUUGAAAGGUGCAAUUGCACCACUACCAGAUGGACCUGCGUUGUAUUAGCUAGUUGGUGAGGUAACGGCUCACCAAGGCGACGAUACAUAGCCGACCUGAGAGGGUGAUCGGCCACACUGGGACUGAGACACGGCCCAG
Molecule: ribosomal RNA, 216 nt
Filed under: uncultured bacterium
Lineage: Bacteria
Description: partial 16S ribosomal RNA
Rfam family: Bacterial small subunit ribosomal RNA
Source: RNAcentral